This 390-nucleotide ribosomal RNA is filed under the name Triticum aestivum (bread wheat). RNAcentral's name for it is "partial small subunit ribosomal RNA". Lineage: Eukaryota; Viridiplantae; Streptophyta; Magnoliopsida; Poales; Poaceae. The record is from RNAcentral.
AUGGUGCGAUUUGACUCUUUUUUUUUGCUUUUUUUUAGCCCUACCUAUACCUCAGUCUUACGAAAAAGAGAAGGGGUUGGCAUAGAGAGAACCAAAUUUGUAAAGCAAACAAACCCACGCUUUGGGAAGGUGAGGCGAACUAACAAUUCCUUCCGUCGUGUAUCCUCGAUUGAUGCGGAAAUUUUCUUGUCUUUCCCGAAUGCUAAGGAGAAGAAGAGGAUUGAGUCAAAAGAAAAAGCUAUUUUGGAGUUUUAUCAACAAUUUGCUUGUGUAGGUGGGGACCUGGUAUUUUCGGAGUCCUUAUGCGAGGAAUUACAAAAGAAAUUUUUUCAACAAAAAUGUGAAUUAAGAAAGUAUAAGAUUAAGAAAGCUCGUGGGUUAGAGAUAUAG